AAGGAAUAUUGGGCAAUGGGCGCAAGCCUGACCCAGCCAUGCCGCGUGCAGGAUGACUGCCCUAUGGGUUGUAAACUGCUUUUAUACGGGAAAAAACCCUCGAACGUGUUCGGGGCUGAUGGUACCGUAAGAAUAAGGAUCGGCUAACUCCGUGCCAGCAGCCGCGGUAAUACGGAGGAUCCAAGCGUUAUCCGGAUUUAUUGGGUUUAAAGGGUGCGUAGGCGGAAUGGUAAGUCAGCGGUGAAAUCUCCCAGCUUAACUGGGAAACUGCCGUUGAUACUGCCAAUCUUGAGUACGGUUGAAGUGGGCGGAAUGUAGCAUGUAGCGGUGAAAUGCUUAGAUAUGCUACAGAACACCGAUUGCGAAGGCAGCUCACUAAGCCGCAACUGACGCUGAGGCACGAAAGCGUGGGGAGCAAAC
RNAcentral lists this ribosomal RNA (420 nucleotides) under uncultured bacterium. RNAcentral's name for it is "bacterial SSU rRNA". It matches the Rfam family "Bacterial small subunit ribosomal RNA", at positions 356 to 773 of the family's 1533-position model. The record is from RNAcentral.